This 253-nucleotide ribosomal RNA is filed under the name uncultured bacterium. RNAcentral's name for it is "partial 16S ribosomal RNA". It matches the Rfam family "Bacterial small subunit ribosomal RNA", at positions 524 to 776 of the family's 1533-position model. The record is from RNAcentral.
UACAUAGGGGGCAAGCGUUAUCCGGAUUUACUGGGUGUAAAGGGAGCGUAGACGGCGAUGCGAGCCAGAUGUGAAAGCCCGGGGCUCAACCCCGGGACUGCAUUUGGAACUGUAUAGCUAGAGUGUCGGAGAGGCAGGCGGAAUUCCUAGUGUAGCGGUGAAAUGCGUAGAUAUUAGGAGGAACACCAGUGGCGAAGGCGGCCUGCUGGACGAUGACUGACGUUGAGGCUCGAAAGCGUGGGGAGCAAACAGG